AAACGCUUGAAGUCAGUCACGCCCUUCUGGAUUCAGCCUUGCUUCUGCUCGGUUUACUUCCAGGUUGGCGGGUCAACGUCAGUUUUGAUCGAGGGAGAAAGGUUUGGGGAACGUGGCAGCAUUCGUGCUGUGUUAUAGCCCCUUGCUGUAUGUCUCGGUCGGGACUGAGGAACGC
RNAcentral lists this ribosomal RNA (175 nucleotides) under Sebacinales sp. RNAcentral describes it as "partial large subunit ribosomal RNA". The record is from RNAcentral. Lineage: Eukaryota; Fungi; Basidiomycota; Agaricomycetes; Sebacinales.